This 443-nucleotide small RNA is filed under the name Pongo abelii (Sumatran orangutan). RNAcentral's name for it is "processed transcript". Lineage: Eukaryota; Metazoa; Chordata; Mammalia; Primates; Hominidae. The record is from RNAcentral.
UGUGCUGGAGACGCCGGGUGCCUGGUGACACGGAACCGUCGGCUGGCACGCUGCGCCCCCACGUGGAAGCUUGCAACGACUGUGUUCUGGGCAAGGACCUCCUGAGGCACCCAUGCUGCAGUUCCCAGAGGCUUAAGGACGGCUGCGGGACAUGUGGGCGUCUGGGUUGAGAUGGAGAAAACAUAGCCUGCUGAAGGGAGAUUGAGGAGAAGAAUCUGGACCAGCAAAGAAAAAGAAUUCCAGUUUUCCUUCCCUCAAGGACAACCUGCCCAUAGACAAGCACCUUGAGACCAAAGCCCAUUAUGGUUGCUGCCAGGCAGCUUGGAGACACAGGAAUGACCUCCAAACAUCCCUGACCUCGGUUUUUGAUACCUUUGUAAAUCAUAUCCCUAAUCUGUCUGCUCCUGAAAUCCCUCUCUCGUUUUUAAAAUGUUUUCCUAAAA